RNAcentral lists this ribosomal RNA (405 nucleotides) under uncultured bacterium. RNAcentral's name for it is "partial 16S ribosomal RNA". It matches the Rfam family "Bacterial small subunit ribosomal RNA", at positions 28 to 526 of the family's 1533-position model. The record is from RNAcentral.
GAUGAACGCUGGCGGCGUGCCUAAUACAUGCAAGUCGAGCGAAGCGGGGACGGGUGAGUAACACGUGUAUGACCUCCUAUAAGACUGGGAUAAAUUCGGGAAACCGGUGCUAAAACCGCUACUGAUCGAUGGAUCCGCGCUGCAUUAGCUAGUUGGUAAGGUAACGGCUUACCAAGCCAACGAUGCAUAGCCGACCUGAGAGGGUGACCGGCCACACUGGAACUGAGACACGGUCCAGACUCCGACGGGAGGCAGCAGUAGGGAAUCUUCCGCAAUGGGCGCAAGCCUGACGGAGCAACGCCGCGUGAGUGAAGAAGGCCUUCGGAUUGUAAAACUCUGUUAUUAGGGAAGCGUUACCUACUCAGAAAGCCCCGGCUAACUACGUGCCAGCAGCCGCGGUAAUUC